AUAAAAACUUUGACUGAGAAAGAGUAAGAAUGACUAUUAUUUACAGAGAGCUACCGGUUGGUGAGAGGUGCAAAGAAAAGCAUUCUGAAUACAUCUCAAGAGUUGCACAUCAAAAGGGGUAAUCCCAAGUAGACUGUGUCGGUAUCCUGCACCCGUUAUAGUGCUAAAGUAUCGUGUAAAUUUAUGCACCGUACUUGAAAAGGUUGAUAUUGUAAAGUAUCAAUAAAUUAAGGUGGUAACACGGGGAAUAUCCCGUCCUUUGA
RNAcentral lists this non-coding RNA (263 nucleotides) under Sporanaerobacter acetigenes. Its description in RNAcentral is "T-box sequence". It matches the Rfam family "T-box leader". From Rfam's summary of the family: Uncharged tRNA acts as the effector for transcription antitermination of genes in the T-box leader family. T-boxes are found upstream of many aminoacyl-tRNA synthetase genes and some amino acid biosynthetic genes usually in Gram-positive bacteria. The record is from RNAcentral. Lineage: Bacteria; Bacillati; Bacillota; Tissierellia; Tissierellales; Sporanaerobacteraceae.